CAGCUCCAAUAGCGUAUAUUAAAGUUGUUGCAGUUAAAAAGCUCGUAGUUGGAUCUAGGGACGCGCAUUUCAAGCGCCCGUGCCGUCGGGUCAAACCGGCGGCUGCGUUGGCGUUGCGGGCUCGGUCCGUCGGUGCCCCACAAAGGGCUAUCGGCGUGUCAACCGGCCCGCCCGUCCCCUCCUUCUGGAUUCCCGUUCCUGCUAUUGAGUUAGUGGGGACGUCACAGGGGGCUCAUGGUCGUCGUGCAAACGGCGGCGGUGGGUCCCUGGGGCCCAGAUCGUUUACCGUGAAAAAAUUAGAGUGUUCAAAGCAGGCAGAUCCAAUUUUCUGCCACCGAAUACAUUAGCAUGGGAUAAUGGAAUAGGACCCUGUCCUCCUAUUUUCAGUUGGUUUUGGCAGCGCGAGGACUAGGGUAAUGAUUAAUAGGGAUAGUUGGGGGCAUUAAUAUUUAAUUGUCAGAGGUGAAAUUCUUGGAUUUAUGAAAGAUUAACUUCUGCGAAAGCAUCUGCCAAGGAUGUUUUCAUUAAUCAAGAACGAAAGUUAGGGGAUCGAAGACGAUCAGAUACCGUCGUAGUCUUAACCAUAAACGAUGCCGACCAGCGAUUAGGAGACGUUGAAUACAAAACACCACCAUCGGUGCGGUCGUCCUUGGCGUCGGUUUCGGCCGGCGCGGGGGUGGCUUAGCCCGGUGGCACCGGUGAA
Molecule: ribosomal RNA, 703 nt
Filed under: Acanthamoeba sp. AcL-WD25
Lineage: Eukaryota; Discosea; Longamoebia; Acanthamoebidae
Description: SSU rRNA
Rfam family: Eukaryotic small subunit ribosomal RNA
Source: RNAcentral